GACGAACGCUGGCGGCGCGCCUAACACAUGCAAGUCGAACGAACGGGCGAGAGCUUGCUUUCUCGCGCGAGUGGCGAACGGGUGAGUAACACGUGAGUAACCUGCCCCAGAGAGGGGGACAACAGUAGGAAACGACUGCUAAUACCGCAUAAGCCCACGGCUCGCCAUCGGGGAGGUGGAAAGGGAGCGAGCCGGUUGGAGAUGGCCUCGCGUCCGAUCAGCUUGUUGGGGGGGUGGCGGACCACCAAGGCGACGAUGGGUAGCCGGCCUGAGGGGUUGGGCGGCCACACUGGGAGUGAGAUAAGGCCCAGACUGCUACGUGCGGGAGCAGUGGGGGAGAUUGAACAAAGGGCGGAAGCCUGAUGCAGCAACGCCGCGUGCGGGAAGACGGCAUUCGGGUUGUAAACCGCUUUCGCGUGUGACGAAGCGUGAGUGACGGUACUGGAUAAAGAAGCACCGGCUAACUACGUG
RNAcentral lists this ribosomal RNA (471 nucleotides) under uncultured bacterium. RNAcentral's name for it is "partial 16S ribosomal RNA". It matches the Rfam family "Bacterial small subunit ribosomal RNA", at positions 28 to 507 of the family's 1533-position model. The record is from RNAcentral.